GCCGGGUGUGGUGGUACACACCUGUAGUCCCAGCUACUUGGGAGGCUGAGGUAAGAGGAUUGCUUGAGUCUGGGAGGUUGGGGCAGCAGUGAGCCAUGAUUGCACCACUGCACUCCAGCCUGGGUGACAGAGCAAGACCUUGCCUUAA
RNAcentral lists this non-coding RNA (148 nucleotides) under Nomascus leucogenys (northern white-cheeked gibbon). Lineage: Eukaryota; Metazoa; Chordata; Mammalia; Primates; Hylobatidae. The record is from Rfam by way of RNAcentral.